Molecule: ribosomal RNA, 253 nt
Filed under: uncultured bacterium
Lineage: Bacteria
Description: partial 16S ribosomal RNA
Rfam family: Bacterial small subunit ribosomal RNA
Source: RNAcentral
UACGUAGGUGGCGAGCGUUGUCCGGAUUUACUGGGCGUAAAGGGAGCGUAGGCGGACUUUUAAGUGAGAUGUGAAAUACUCGGGCUCAACCUGAGUGCUGCGUUUCAAACUGGAAGUCUAGAGUGCAGGAGAGGAGAAUGGAAUUCCUAGUGUAGCGGUGAAAUGCGUAGAGAUUAGGAAGAACACCAGUGGCGAAGGCGAUUCUCUGGACUGUAACUGACGCUGAGGCUCGAAAGCGUGGGGAGCAAACAGG